CACAGUCACUCUCACAGACACACGCACACAGUCACUCUCACAGACACACGCACACAGUCACUCUCACAGACACACGCACACAGUCACUCUCACAGACACAGUCACUCACAGACUCACAGACACAAUCACUCUCACAGACACACAGACAGUCACUCUCACAGACACCCAGACACACACACAGUCACUCUCAGACACACACACACAGUCGCUCUCACAGACACACACAGUCGCUCUCACAGACACACACAGUCGCUCUCACAGACACACAGUCGCUCUCACACACACACAGUCGCUCUCACAGACACACAGUCGCUCUCACAGACACACAGUCGCUCUCAGACACACACAGUCGCUCUCACAGACACACACAGUCGCUCUCUCACACACACAGUCGCUCUCUCACACACACAGUCGCUCUCACAGACACACACACACACACAGAGGUACUCUCUCACAGACACACAGAUACUCUCUCACACACACACAGAGGUACUCUCUCACACACACAGAGGUACUCUCUCUCACACACACACAGAGGUACUCUCUCACACACACACACAGAGGUACUCUCUCUCACACACACACACAGAGGUACUCUCUCUCACACACACACACAGAGGUACUCUCUCUCUCACACACACACAGAGGUACUCUCUCUCUCACACACACACAGAGGUACUCUCUCUCUCACACACACACAGAGGUACUCUCUCUCUCACACACACACAGAGGUACUCUCUCUCACACACACACACACACACAGAGGUACUCUCUCUCUCACACACACACAGAGGUACUCUCUCUCUCACACACACACAGAGGUACUCUCUCUCUCACACACACAGAGGUACUCUCUCUCUCACACACACAGAGGUACUCUCUCUCUCACACACACACAGAGGUACUCUCUCUCUCACACACACACAGAGGUACUCUCUCUCUCACACACACACAGAGGUACUCUCUCUCUCACACACACACAGAGGUACUCUCUCUCUCACACACACACAGAGGUACUCUCUCUCUCACACACACACACAGAGGUACUCUCUCUCUCACACACACACACAGAGGUACUCUCUCUCUCACACACACACAGAGGUACUCUCUCUCUCACACACACACAGAGGUACUCUCUCUCUCACACACACACACAGAGGUACUCUCUCUCUCACACACACACACACAGAGGUACUCUCUCACGGACACACACAGAGGUAGUCUCACGGACACACACACAGGUACUCUCACGGACACACACAGAGGUACUCUCACAGUCGCGCGUGCACACAGAGACAGACGGACAGUCGCGCACAGACACAGACAGUCGCGCACAGACACAGACAGUCGCGCACAGACACAGACAGUCGCGCACAGACACAGACAGUCGCGCACAGACACAGACAGUCGCACAGACACACAGUCACUCGCACAGACACACACAGUCACUCGCACAGACACACACAGUCACUCGCAGACAGCACACACAGUCACUCGCACAGACACACAGUCACUCGCACAGACACACACAGUCACUCGCACAGACACACAGUCACUCGCACAGACACACACAGUCACUCGCACAGACACACAGUCACUCGCACAGACACACAGUCACUCGCACAGACACACACAGUCACUCGCACAGACACACACAGUCACUCGCACAGACACACACAGUCACUCGCACAGACACACACAGUCACUCGCACAGACACACACAGUCACUCGCACAGACACACACAGUCACUCGCACAGACACACACAGUCACUCUCACACAGUCACUCUCACAGACACACAGUCACUCUCACACAGUCACUCUCACAGACACACACACACACACACACAGAGGUCACUCUCACAGACACACAGUCACUCUCACACACACAGUCACUCUCACAGACACAGACACACAGUCACACACACACACAGAGGUACUCUCACAGACACACACACACACACACACACAGUCACACAGUCACAGACACAGUCACA
Molecule: long non-coding RNA, 1996 nt
Organism: Oncorhynchus tshawytscha (Chinook salmon)
Lineage: Eukaryota; Metazoa; Chordata; Actinopteri; Salmoniformes; Salmonidae
Source: Ensembl